UCCUCGCCCCCAGAAACCUACUCACACAUGCUGACUACAUAUAUGUGUGCAUGUUUUUGGUGUAAUGUAAUUGGUUGGUCUGUAUCAUCCAUUAAUAAUGGCUGAGAUCACACCAAACAUGUGGCACAGUUUAGGGAUUUACUUUUAUUAUAGAAAAUGUGUCAAGUUCUGUGUUUCCAAAUUUUUCAUCUUCUGUAUCCUCUUUUCACCUUUUACCCCAGCUUUUGAUCUUCAUGCCCCCCCAUUUCUGCAUGUCCUCAAACCCAUCUUCUCUCUCUCUCUCUCUGUCUCGCUCGCUUUUUCACACAAACACACACAGUCUGAGGCUCUAGAGAAGGCAGGACCAACCACUCCCACUGCCCUAUAGUUCUAUGAAAACACAGAGGACGAGAGACACAGCCAGACAGAUGAGAGAGAGAGAGAGGGCGGAGCGUAGCCGUGCUGAAGCCGAGCCCCUCUUUGCCUCCGCACGCACAGUGGAGGAGCAGACGGGCAACAGCCACACAAACACACUCCCCUCUCAGUCACAUGCACACUCACACACACACAUACCACACACAUACACACACGCACACCACAACCGCCGACGUCGCUGCUGCCCCCUGCCCCACCACAUACACUAACACACACACUUAUACACUCACAGUGACGGCUGCCAGACUCAGUGGGAAGAAAGCCGUCAGGGAGAGAGAGAGAGAGAGCUGGAGGAGAAAGAGAGGGAUCGCAGAGGGAAGAGAAGAAAAGAAAAGAGAGAGUUGCAGGAGGCACCUCUUUGGAUCAGGAAGGAUUUUCCUCCUGAGUGAGCGUUUGGAUAAAUCAAUCUGCUUUUUUGUUGAGCAAAAGGACUUUUUGACCAGAGCUGUCUCUCAUUUGCUCAUCCUCCCCACCGGUUUCCUGCGAUAUCUACCUAUCCAUCUCCAGAGCUCAACAAAAGAGGGAGGGAGAAAGAGAGAGAGUGAGAAAUAAGGCAGUCACAGCUUCAGCUUCAGACCACCCUCUCUUUUCCUACUCCUCCUCUUCCUCCUCCUCCUCUUCCCCUCCAUCCAUGUGUGAGUUGAUCGCUGAUUUCACUGUCUUUUCAGAGCAGAGGACAGCGUGCGUUCUCCAGGAUACAACCAGGCUUCCAGUGGGAUCAGGGUCCUGUCUGGCGUGCGUAUGAGAGAGGAAGAACGAGACCGGCAAACGGAUACACAAGAAGAAAGGAGGAAAGACCAGAGGGAGAGACUGGAAAGCAAAUUGAAUGGGCAUGUUUAGGGCAGAAGUGAGUGUGAUUUUCUUUAAAGACUGGACAGUACGAGGAACCGGUAACUGAAUCUCAUUCAACCUCCUCCGCUUCAUCACCAUCCUCUUCUUCCCUCCCAUUUGGCUAUUAAAUCUCCUCUAUUGUUUCCAGCGUUGAUUCUAUACUAUCUUGUCACAUUUUCCUCUUCUCCUGCUCCCACUCAAGAUCCCGUCUCCUUUUCUAGACCCCACUGGAAGAAUGGUUUUGUGAGGUUCUCCUUCUGUGAGCUCCCAGACAAGCAGACUGACUGAGAUCCCAAAAGUACUGUUUGUCCCUCUUAAAUCCAUCUCCUCCGUUUCGCAUUUACCACACACCUCGGGAAGAGAGCAUUCUCCCCCUCUCUGCAUCCUCAACUCUUGGAAUCAGUCAUCUAAAGGAUCCAGGCCAGCCCGUUGGAAGUGAUUCCUUGCCUCCGAGCCUCUAUCUCCAGCCUCCAAGACCUUCAAUCAGAUUCCAGCUACAUGGGAAAACGUUUGGAGCAGCAGCCAAUGUACCCCCACUACACCUACUACUACCCCCACUAUCUUCAGACUAAGCAGUCAUAUGCUCCUCCACCUCCACCAAUGGCUCCGCCCAGUCCAAGCACCACAGGGGGGGGUGGCGGUGGAGGAGGUGGAGGUCACGGAGGGGGGCUAGUGGAGCAGCUUAGUAAGACCAACCUGUACAUCAGAGGCCUGCCACCAGCUACCACCGACCAGGACCUCAUCAAACUCUGCCAGCCAUAUGGAAAGAUUGUAUCAACUAAGGCCAUCCUGGACAAGAACACCAAUCAGUGUAAAGGCUACGGCUUUGUGGACUUCGACAGCCCUGCAGCAGCCCAGAAGGCUGUGGCCUCCCUGAAAGCCAGCGGAGUCCAGGCACAAAUGGCAAAGCAACAAGAGCAGGACCCCACCAACCUCUACAUCUCCAACCUGCCUGUGUCCAUGGAUGAACAAGAGCUGGAGAACAUGCUGAAGCCCUUUGGUCACGUCAUCUCUACACGAAUACUGAGGGACGCCAACGGGCUGAGCAGAGGCGUGGGCUUUGCCAGGAUGGAGUCAACAGAGAAGUGUGAUGUGGUUAUCCAAAAUUUCAAUGGAAAGUUCUUGAAAACACCUCCAGGCAUGACAGCCCCAGCGGAGCCGUUGCUGUGCAAGUUUGCUGAUGGAGGCCAAAAAAAGAGGCAGACCCAGGUCAAGUAUCCCCAGAACGGCCGGCCGUGGACACGGGAUGGAGAGAACAAUAUGGCGCUGACCUAUGACCCCACUGCCAUGCAGAAUGGAUUCUACUCUUCACCCUACAGCAUCUCCACCAAUCGGAUGAUUGCGCAGACAUCCAUCACACCCUUCAUUGCUGCUUCUCCUGUCUCCACAUAUCAGGUCCAGAGUACGUCUUGGAUGCCACACCAACAGUAUGUUAUGCAACCAACAGGCGCUGUCAUCACUCCAGCUGCGACCAUUGAGCCCAGCCUCUCCCUUCACCCCUCCAGUGUUAUGGCUCCUCUCACCCAGCAGAUGAAUCACUUGUCUUUAGGCACUACAGGCACCUACAUGCCUGCUGCAGCAGCUGCUCCUAUGCAAGGAACCUACAUUCCCCAGUACACUGCAGUGCCUGCCUCUGCCAUCACAGUGGAAGGUGUGGUGUCAGAUCCAUCCACACAGACAGCUGUACCCUCCUCACAGGAGGCCGGUGGGCAGCAGCCUUUAUCAGUGGAGAGCUCAGCAGAUCACGCUACGACUUACUCCUACCAGCAGUCUAAAUAAAAACACUGCCAUCACUGUGUAAUGGCAGAACUGAGGCAAUGGAGACGGAGAGGAUCAAUCUAAAACUUGGAGGAUGAGUAAGAUUUGAUGGAAAUCACUGACAGGACAAUGGUUCCACUGUGCACAGGCACCAAAUACAAAGACAAAAUAAGGAAUAAUAGGAAAAAUAAAAGUGUUUUUAAACUGGUUGAACCAGGACUAAAGUCAAGGCAAAAGAAAACCAGCUACCAGUCAGCAGCUGUGACUCUAUCAACUGUAAUAAUGAGGCUGGACUUUGCCUCCAAAGAAAAAAAAAAUGAAGACAAACUGAAAUCUAAAAACUCUUUCACUCGAUCAAGCUGUACAGAAAAAAGGAACAUUUGAAUGUCCAGGAACAUUUUUCUGACUUUUUUAGAUAAAAAAAAAGGGUAAAAAGGAAGUCAAGUUAAAAAACAAACAAAAAAGGUUGUCUUCCUUUAGUUUUAUUAAGCUACAUUAUUUUCUUUUGUUUUUUAUUUGAGUAGUUUUUUAGAAUAGUAAUGUUUUUUCGUAAAUCUUUAUGGCCUUAAUUUUCUCAAACUUUGAGGGAAAAAUGUUUCCAUAGUGUUGAAUAAUUAUUAAAAAGAAACAAAGUGUGAUAAAAUAAUUUGAGGUAUUCUCUGAGUUUCUCAGAGGCAUCAAAAUUAGAAAUGAACAAUGCUACCUGUACAGGAUUUUUUUUAGAGAAAAGACAAAAAUAGAGUUGUAUUUGUAUGAAGAUGAUUUUAAAUUAUGUGGUGCAGUCUAGCUGAUGUUGGUCGGUAAGGAAACUGUCUUCAGUGCAACCUGUGGAAAAUGUUGAUCCGCUGCUUUUUGUAUUUAGUUCAGCCACAGGAUAAAUAUUUGGUUUUUCCACAGCAUUUUUUUUCCCUGUUGGUCUCUUUACAUUUUUUUGUUUGUUUUUGUUUGCUUUACCAGCUUUGCUUGCCUCAUUGCAUAAAGAAAAAGUGAGUUUUGACUUUUUAAAAGAAAAAAGCAGGAAAAUAUGUGGUUGGAGGAUUCCAUGUGCAGAAAGCAUUAGUUUUAGAGGCUGUUGACAUUUUCUUGUUUAUCUAGUGUUGAACAAACGCAACCAACAGGUGGCGCUUUCAUACCAAAGAAAUAGAAAAUAAGAGGUGAAAAAUAGAGAUCUUCCUUUAUCUUACAUUCUCUUUGGACAUUCACCUCUGAGACUAAUCUGAUUCCCAUCAUGUGAUCUUAUUGCUUCUUGAAAUCCUCCUUUUAACUAAAUGAGAACAGGCAAACGGUGUGUUUAUAAAUUAGCCUCACCCAGUACCUGUGUUUUUUUUUAAUGUUUUUGUGUCACGUGGUGAAACCUAGUGAUGAUAGAAAGCGGCGUUGUUCCAUGUAUUGAAAAACCAGACGGCCUGUAGAUCUGUCUGUAGGUUCCACACAGGGUUGCACAAAACUAGGCAAAAAAAAACUACCAGUAAACCAUUAAGUAGACCAACUUUUCCCAACCUUUUCUGUUGAUUCUUACUCUAGAAAUCUUCUUAUCAUUCUGCGAUCCCAUAUUUAUUAUUGGCUUAACUAACUGCCUGUUUUUGGACAUAUGGGGCGUACAGUAGUAGCCGUAUGUAAACCACAUCCUUUGACCAUUUUGGCUGAAUUUCUUAAAGUGAAUGAACAGGUCUAGUGAAUUUGAGUGUCAAGCAGGUUGUAGUGGUCUAUUUACUUAACCAUCCUGAUGCUGCAUUGACCAAUGUCCCCCUCCCACAUGUUGACACCUGCUGCUAUAACGAUUUUUCAGAGUACUCCUUGAUGUGAUGCUCUCAGUCAAUAUAGGCUGGUUCAUGCCACUGUCUUGCCAAACAAAAGCCAUUGGAAUCAUGAGCAGGAAGAUUUAAGGGUUUAUUUCUAUUGAAUGGAGUGAUUUAAGCUGAUAUAUAAUCUAAUCUUUUUUUCUUUUUCUUUUUUUUAUUCCUUUUUAUGUUGCUUUAUAUUUUGUUUGUCUGUUUGAAAAUCGUUUAUGUGAUGCAAGCUGCUAAAACACUUUCCAGCAUUGGUGAUUGAGGUCGCUUUGUGUCAGGUGGGUGGGGACAGGAUGUGUCCCAAAAUUGAAAGUAGAGAUUGAUGAAAGAUGAUGGCUUUCUCAAUGAGAUAUUUUUUUAAGGGAGUCACAUCCUUAAAAACAGCUAAACCCACCUGACUGAUCAGACAGAUGCACAGGAAAGAAGGUUCAACCAAAACCAAGCAGAUUCAAGUCUGUCUCUUGGAAAGUCUGAACUGUCAAAGGAUGAAAAAAAAAACAGAAAGAAAAAGAAAACGUAGUAUUUAUGAGAACUUUUUGUACAGGUGUGUAAAAGAUGCAACAGAAAUAAUGUUGAAGCUAUUUUUUUAUUUGCUUGGUCACAUGCCUCCAUGUCUUUUCACAUUGUGAUUCUGAGAGUGUCUGUAGAACCAGUUGUUAUUGCUGUAGUGACAAAUGUCUCUUUUUUCUUUAUACGUUCUUUUUAAAUACAUCUUUCAAUAAUAAAAAGGAAUAAGUCAACAAAAAUUAAUUUUUUAAACAGAAAAUAUAGAAAUCGGUUCUUUGGUAGGUGCCACCAGAGUGCAGUGUUUUGCACAGGCCACUAAGGACAACUUUACGAGUAAGUAAAAAAAAAAUCAUUACACAAAUGAUUAAACCACCAAGAAUUAACUGAUUAUGUUCAUAUUUUUUCCCUGCAGGUUUGCUCAUGUGGGCGUCUUCCAGUGGACCCACCACACGGGAAGGUUCACGAGGGGCUAGUGCGGUACAGUGUGAUUUGGGUGGCGGUCGUAGAGACUGCUGCCACUGCGACCCAGUAACGGAUAAGCGGUCGAAAAUGGAUGGGCUUUCUCAUGUUACCAGUAACAAACCUGAUUCACAAACAGCUUUCAUGAGGAGAGAAGAGGAGCGAACAAGAAAGGAGAGGAGCAAGCAGAGUGGAAGAAAAGUAGCACAUGCGUAUGAGAAAGAUGAACGCUAUGAUGACAGCGAUGAUGGUCAGCGCUGAAAACAGAAAGAUGAGACCGGCGAAGACUGGGUUGGUCAUCGGCAAAAUGAGCUUCACUUCAGACGGGAUCAUGUUGGACAUACUCAGCAUGUAGCCCAAACUCCAACCUAUGUUGGUGUUCUUAACCUGGAGGAGAAAAGAGGAGAUGUAUGGUGAGUUCAAGAGAGGAGAGGAAAAAGUGAGAGAGGAGGCGAGCGGAAAGCAAAGGGCAAGAGAGGGGAAGAAGGGGAAAAGUAAGAAAAGAGGCGAUGGGAGGGGUGGUCAGAGCAGAGGAUGGAGAAUGGGUGGGGGGCAAGAGGAGGAAAAAAGAGAAGAUGGGACAACAGGAGAGGAAAAAGUAAGAGAAAAUGUGAUGUAGAGGUGGUGAGAGCAGGGGGAGGAGAGGACAGUAAAGAGAGAAAAUCAAGAAGAGAAUAUGUGAAGAGAGAAAAGGGAAAGGAGAUGUGUGUAGAGGAGAAAUUGAUCUGACAUUGACUCUGACAUCAUCUUUGCAUGUUCAGAAUAGACUGGAAUGUCUCGCAACUGAAAUAAAAAAGCUUCACUUCAAAA
This is an RNA transcript of Cynoglossus semilaevis (tongue sole), 6569 nucleotides long. It is a transcript of the gene named RNA-binding motif, single-stranded-interacting protein 3, with no coding region annotated. Lineage: Eukaryota; Metazoa; Chordata; Actinopteri; Pleuronectiformes; Cynoglossidae. The record is from RefSeq and is a predicted model, not a curated record. The transcript is spliced from 16 exons.